AGUUCAUGAUUGGGGCAAUUCUUGACCAGUCCUUUAAAGCGCUCCCAUGCGGCACUUAAGGUUUCAAAUUCUUCUUGCUAAAAGUUCAUUAUCUCUCUCCGACU
Molecule: small nucleolar RNA, 104 nt
Organism: Benincasa hispida (wax gourd)
Lineage: Eukaryota; Viridiplantae; Streptophyta; Magnoliopsida; Cucurbitales; Cucurbitaceae
Source: RefSeq, a predicted model, not a curated record